This 471-nucleotide long non-coding RNA is filed under the name Mytilus galloprovincialis (Mediterranean mussel). Lineage: Eukaryota; Metazoa; Mollusca; Bivalvia; Mytilida; Mytilidae. The record is from RNAcentral.
UUUUUUCUUCCGGUAAUUUGAAAUAAAUACGAGUGCAACGUCACGUUCGGUAGUCUUUGCUGUGUUUACGUUUGGCUUGCAGCAAGGCUCAUCCCGGGGGGUCCUAGAGGUAAGAAGCAGCGCAUUAGCUGUAUGCCUUGCAUUUAUUUACCGUAUUUAUGUAAGAUAAUCCCAGUUGACCCGUACGAAAAUACAUGAGAAAGAUUAUUAUUUUAGUAGUUUCGUCCCGUAUGUUUAUUAUAUAUUAUUGUUGGAAUAUUGUACUUAUAUGGAAAGAUAUCGGCUAUUAAUAAAAGUAUCAUUUUUACUAUUGAUCAUUUAUUCACGCUACCAAUGACGAGAGAGAACAGACAACAUAUUUGACGUCCGUAUUUAUUUACCCUGUGUAUUUACUAGUUUUAUGAGAUAUUCGUAUUUGCUGGCUUUAUAACUAUAUCAAAACAUAGCGAGAAGCAGAAAUUACGACAGAUG